Molecule: long non-coding RNA, 405 nt
Organism: Nycticebus coucang (slow loris)
Lineage: Eukaryota; Metazoa; Chordata; Mammalia; Primates; Lorisidae
Exons: 3
Source: RefSeq, a predicted model, not a curated record
GGAUACCUCACCAUACCAGGAACUUGCUCCUGGGACUUUUGGAAGUGAGAGACCUCAUCCUGGUCCAUGGAAAAAUUGUCUUCUAUGAAACUGGUACCUGGUGCCAAAAAGAUUGGGGAUGGCUGAUGUAUACCAGAUGUCUCAUCAUAUGCAGCUGCAGGAAGCCAACUGAUACUUCCAGCAUGUUGUGUUGACAUCUUAGCCACAGCUGUACUAUACAGAGUUCCUUCCUGCUCUGGGUGCUGUUAUAUGAGAGUGUGCUGCUGCAGCCAGAUUGUGACCAGAAGAGGUAGUUCGGGAAAACUCCAGAGAUGGGGACCUGGUACCUUGCACCUACUAUGGUUGUCAUACCAUGGAACCAAUUCUGACACUCUCUACCUCAAGACUUCUUAUCAAGGGGGGCAA